GUUGAUUGGUUUUAUUGAUUUAUUUUAUUGGUUGUUGUUGUUUGUUUGUUUUUGCAGUGAUUAGUUUUCCUGGGAAGCAAGCAUUGCUUUGUGGUGUUUCCCUCAAUCCCACCCUACACAUAAAAGCAACUGAUGCAGAAGAAUUUCUCCUCUUUUGACCUUGGCAGUCCUCACCAUUCAUGGGCUUUCUCAGAUGGCUUCUUCAUCAAAGGAUAGGAGACCAGAGUGUCUCAGUCUUCAGGGCCUCUCCAUGUGAUGAGGGCUUCUCACAGCAUGGUGACCUUAGAGAAGUUGGAUUCCUUAAAUGGAGGCUUCGGGCUCUAGAAGCAAGUGUUCCAAGAGCCAGCGCUUUUAAAUGAAAAGUUCUUCCACUUUGUUUUGUUGUCAUUUCUCAGACUCUCAAUUUUGGAAAUACAGGAACUAGUUUUAAAAGCCCAUUUUGUAGAAUUUUUCCAUAUAAAAAAUUCAGGCCUUAGGACUCAAAUACUAAGUUCAAUGGGUGUUUCGUUUGAAUUAUAUGGCAAGGUAUUUCUUGUUUUGUUAGGGAAAUAUCAAUUUCAGGUAAAGAUUGGAUUUUGGAUACUUUGUUAAAUUUGAUCAUAAAAUAAGGACAUCAAAUGGCCUUGGGGCAAAGGAAUAGUAGGUCAGAAGCCCACAUUUCAAGUGAGUGAUCUACAGUGCUUUUGGGGUCUCUUUUCUCCAACACGUACAGUCAUCAAGCUGAUGAGUGAUAUCAAAAGAAAAGUUGCCUAGGAUUAAGAGCCUUAUUGUCUUGGAAGAAAUAAAUAUCUUUUCCAUCCAAUUCUUAGCA
This is a long non-coding RNA of Urocitellus parryii (Arctic ground squirrel), 811 nucleotides long. The record is from Ensembl. NCBI's taxonomy places the organism in Eukaryota, Metazoa, Chordata, Mammalia, Rodentia, Sciuridae.